This is a long non-coding RNA of Populus trichocarpa (black cottonwood), 654 nucleotides long. RefSeq lists it as uncharacterized. The transcript has 3 exons. NCBI's taxonomy places the organism in Eukaryota, Viridiplantae, Streptophyta, Magnoliopsida, Malpighiales, Salicaceae. The record is from RefSeq and is a predicted model, not a curated record.
CAAAGUCGACAAAAAAACCUGUUCUCUCCCCGGUUUUUUUCUCCAGCAUCUUCUCUCUCUCUCUCUCUCUCUCCCCCCGCCACUGCCACCACCUCUUACACCUGCCGAAGACAACCACCAAUAGACCAGUUCCUCCCCCCAAGCACCAUCGUGGUCUAACGACAGAAACCACCACUGCAGCCACCGCGAGCUUCCCUUCUCCUUUGCAAGCUUCUGCCUCUUCUGCUCCAACAACCAACCAUAGCAGCCAGCUCCAUUAUCACUCGUCGGCGGCGUCUUCACCCACGGCUCCACCACCGGUCAACAACAGGGCCAACUAGCCUCUCCCCAUGCCAGCUACCACGAGCUUCCCCUCACCUUUGCAAGUUUCUGCCUCUUCUGCUCCAGCAACCAACCAUAUCAGCCAGCUCCACUAUCACUCAUCGACGGCGUCUCCACCCACGUCUUUACCACCGGUCAACAACAGGGUCAGCUGCCCUCUCCCCAUACCAGUUACCACGAGCUUCCCCUUUCCUUUGCAAGUUUCUGCCUCUUUUGCUCCAGCAACCAACCAUAGCAGCCAGCUCCACUAUCACUCGUCAUCGGCGUCUCUCCACCUACGUCUCUACCACCGGUCAACAACAGGGCCAGCUGGCCUCUCCCCACACUAGGUAA